GAUGAACGCUGGCGGCGUGCUUAACACAUGCAAGUCGAACGAUGAAACCUUUUUGAGCCUUCGGGUAAGAUGUGGUGGAUUAGUGGCGAACGGGUGCGUAACACGUGAAUAACCUACCUUAGACUUCGAGAUAACAUCGAGAAAUCGAUGCUAAUAUCGAAUGUCCUAAAGAAUUCGCAUGAAUUUUUUAGAAAAGCUCCGGCGGUCUAAGAUGGAUUCGCGGCCUAUCAGCUUGUUGGUGAGGUAAUGGCUCACCAAGGCUUCAACGGGUAGCCGGCCUGAGAGGGUGACCGGCCACAUUGGGACUGAGAUACGGCCCAGACUCCUACGGGAGGCAGCAGUGGGGAAUAUUGCACAAUGGACGCAAGUCUGAUGCAGCGACGCCGCGUGAGGGAUGACGGCCUUCGGGUUGUAAACCUCUUUUAGUAGGGAAGAAGCGAAAGUGACUGUACCUAAAGAAAAAGCACCGGCUAACUACGUGCCAGCAGCCGCGGUAAUACGUAGGGUGCAAGCGUUAUCCGGAAUUAUUGGGCGUAAAGGGCUCGUAGGUGGUUUGUCGCGUCUGAUGUGAAAAUUCUAGGCUCAACCUGGAAACUGCAUCGGGUACGGGCGAACUAGAGUAUGGUAGAGGAGUUUGGAACUCCUGGUGUAGCGGUGGAAUGCGCAGAUAUCAGGAAGAAUACCAACAGCGAAGGCAGGACUCUGGGCCAUAACUGACGCUGAGGAGCGAAAGCAUGGGGAGCGAACAGGAUUAGAUACCCUGGUAGUCCAUGCUGUAAACGUUGGGCACUAGGUGUGGGGUCCGGUCCACGGACUCCGUACCGUCGCUAACGCACUAAGUGCCCCGCCUGGGGAGUACGGCCGCAAGGCUAAAACUCAAAGAAAUUGACGGGGGCCCGCACAAGCAGCGGAGCAUGCGGAUUAAUUCGAUGCAACGCGAAGAACCUUACCAAGGCUUGACAUAUAUCGGAAAGGUCUAGAGAUAGACUCCCCUUCGGGCCGUUAUACAGGUGGUGCAUGGUUGUCGUCAGUUCGUGUCGUGAGAUGUUAGGUUAAGUCCUUCAACGAGCGCAACCCCUGUCCUAUGUUGCCAGCGGAUAAUGCCGGGGACUCAUGGGAGACCGCCGAGGUCAACUCGGAGGAAGGUGGGGAUGACGUCAAAUCAUCAUGCCCCUUACGUCUUGGGCUUCACGCAUGCUACAAUGGCUGGUACAAAGAGGUGCGAUAUCGUAAGGUGGAGCCAAUCUCAAAAAGCCAGUCUCAGUUCGGAUUGGGGUCUGCAACUCGACCCCAUGAAGUCGGAGUUGCUAGUAAUCGUAGAUCAGCAGCGCUACGGUGAAUACGUUCCCGGG
This 1352-nucleotide ribosomal RNA is filed under the name uncultured Actinomycetes bacterium. RNAcentral's name for it is "uncultured actinobacterium 16S ribosomal RNA". It matches the Rfam family "Bacterial small subunit ribosomal RNA", at positions 28 to 1378 of the family's 1533-position model. The record is from RNAcentral. Lineage: Bacteria; Bacillati; Actinomycetota; Actinomycetes.